RNAcentral lists this long non-coding RNA (206 nucleotides) under Elaeis guineensis (African oil palm). Its description in RNAcentral is "long non-coding RNA (EGUI_LNC075307)". Lineage: Eukaryota; Viridiplantae; Streptophyta; Magnoliopsida; Arecales; Arecaceae. The record is from RNAcentral.
CGAUCGUCGGGUACCAUUGCUAGAUGGUCACUUCGAUUAGUACAGGAAUUAGUUCCUGUGCUACCGGCUUAGGUUCGAACCUGCGGGGUCACACACAUUAGAUGUUCCUUUCUGAUCUGAUGACUGAUUAUGAGUCUUAUGUGUCUGGAACUCUAUGAUUGAGAAUUAGGAUUCUCUAAUCAUGAGUUCCACAUAUUUUGGGUACC